GACGAACGCUGGCGGCGUGCUUAACACAUGCAAGUCGAACGGAAAGGCCCUGCUUUUGUGGGGUGCUCGAGUGACGAACGGGUGAGUAACACGUGAGUAACCUGCCCUUGACUUUGGGAUAACUUCAGGAAACUGGGGCUAAUACCGGAUAGGAGCUCCUGCUGCAUGGUGGGGGUUGGAAAGUUUCGGCGGUUGGGGAUGGACUCGCGGCUUAUCAGCUUGUUGGUGGGGUAGUGGCUUACCAAGGCUUUGACGGGUAGCCGGCCUGAGAGGGUGACCGGCCACAUUGGGACUGAGAUACGGCCCAGACGCCUACGGGAGGCAGCAGUGGGGAAUAUUGCACAAUGGGCGGGAGCCUGAUGCAGCAACGCCGCGUGCGGGAUGACGGCCUUCGGGUUGUAAACCGCUUUCGCCUGUGACGAAGCGUGAGUGACGGUAAUGGGUAAAGAAGCACCGGCUAACUACGUG
RNAcentral lists this ribosomal RNA (468 nucleotides) under uncultured bacterium. RNAcentral's name for it is "partial 16S ribosomal RNA". It matches the Rfam family "Bacterial small subunit ribosomal RNA", at positions 28 to 507 of the family's 1533-position model. The record is from RNAcentral.